GGAAUCUUGCACAAUGGGCGAAAGCCUGAUGCAGCGACGCCGCGUGGGGGAUGAAGGCCUUAGGGUCGUAAACCCCUUUCAGCAGGGACGAAAAUGACGGUACCUGCAGAAGAAGCCCCGGCCAACUACGUGCCAGCAGCCGCGGUAAGACGUAGGGGGCGAGCGUUGUCCGGAUUUAUUGGGCGUAAAGAGCUCGUAGGCGGUUGCGUAAGUCGGAUGUGAAAACUCAGGGCUCAACCCUGAGACGCCAUCCGAUACUGCGCUGACUUGAAUCCAGUAGGGGAGUGUGGAAUUCCUGGUGUAGCGGUGAAAUGCGCAGAUAUCAGGAGGAACACCCAUGGCGAAGGCAGCACUCUGGGCUGGUAUUGACGCUGAGGAGCGAAAGCAUGGGUAGCGAACAGGAUUAGAUACCCCCGUAGUCCCUGAGCGGGCUGGCAAGGCGCAU
This 445-nucleotide ribosomal RNA is filed under the name uncultured bacterium. RNAcentral's name for it is "bacterial SSU rRNA". It matches the Rfam family "Bacterial small subunit ribosomal RNA", at positions 358 to 825 of the family's 1533-position model. The record is from RNAcentral.